UCCAGGUAGCCUCAUUUUUACCCACCAGGCGCCUGGACUAGGUUUCUAUCAGUUAAAAAGAGAUAUCAAUGUUGAAACUACAAAAGCAAGUAUCUGGUUGUGGUGUUUUAAAAUCCCUGCUCUCAUGGUACUUUUUUAAGAAGAAAAAUCAACAGUCGGCAGUCAAAUACUAGUUAAAUGCUUCAACCCUACAAAUUCUAAUGACAGGAUUGAAAGUCAGCUUGAAUUUUCUAUGUUUAGUUGCUGCAAGUGUUAAGAAAACUUACCAAAAUUUAGGAAAUUUUACACAAACUGGGCUUUGUAAUGAGUAAUUUCUCUUCUCUUUCUUUCCAGUCCACACCUGGUCGUAAGAGAGGAAGAAAGGCACUAAAAAUCAAACGCUCGAAUCACCUGAGCCAGUUCCUGAUAGUUUCACCACUUAUCGCUCCAGUGCUGAAAUGCCUGCGGAAACAGACGACGACUCACAUUCGGAUGAAAACGAGUCAAGCUGUUCCGAUUGCUCCUCUCAAGACAGUGAUGACUCCUCCUCCACCUGUUCAUCCAGCGACAGUGUUGAAUGUAGUAGCACCAGUGGCGAACUAUCACAACUACAGCUAGUUUGGGCGAAAUGUAGAGGUUAUCCUGGUACCCUGCCUUGGUAAGUCCAUUGAUGUUAAAACUUUAUUAUGUGUAUCAUGCGUGCCUCUUCUAGGCUCUGGAUUGAAACUCAUUGUCCUUUACAAAAUGUUUCUGUAUGUUCAAGCUUUAUUGGUAAAAUAUGAAAUGCUCUAGAAGGAAGCGGGUCUGAGCCUACGUUACUGACAGGUUGGGAGUGAAUAAAGGAAUCUGAUCUGCAGUGGUGCGUACUUUAUGAUCGGCCCCAUUUGUUGUUUAAUUUUUAUUUUGUCCAAGUUUUACCUGUUUUUUUUUUUUUUUUUUUUUUUUUUUAAAUCUUAACCAUGUAACCGAUUUUAUACUAAGAUAUGCAAUAAUAUGACCAAAAAAGGGAGGACAAAGGAUUUCUAAGUUCCUGGGCAAAUCAAACCGCCUGAAUAUCUAAAUUAGAUAGCAUUCCUAUUGUUCUUAUCAUUGGGGCAUUUUGAUGGGUGAGAAUGCUAGCUCAUUAGCUAAUCUAAAGAUCUUGCAACUUCAAAAUAUAUGUAUUUCUAUUGAAGAAAGGUGAAGCACGACGGUUCAAUGGUGGCACGGAAAGGUGGUUCUACUAUUUGAACACAAACUACUCUUUAGUUAUUUGCAGCUCAUACAUAUGUAAUCGAAAUAUGCAGUAAAGUACUCCUAGUAACACAGUCAAGACACUGAGUUUUGAGACUAAUUUUGUAAUGGACAACUGUCUAAUUUUUUUUUGUGAUGUUUGAUGAGGGCUCCUUUAGAAGUACCUACAUUCAGUUGUAGAUAAGUUUCACAGUGUAGAUGCAUUAUGAUAGAAAAGUCAAGAGAGAUUUUAAUACUGCUGGUUAGGAACUGAAUUCAUUUCAACUGUGCGUAACAUACAACAGUAAUCAAGCAAUUUUUUCUUUGAUUCUCCCUGUAAUAAUUUCUUUGCUAAAAUCUGUCUUUUAUUUUGCAGACGAUCGAUCCAAACAUGCCUCGCGACUAUGUUCAUCACGGCGUUCCAAUUCCUUCACCCCUCUAGAUGUACUGGAGCUAGAGAAGACACACUCAGAGCCAGUCUUUUUGAUCCUAUUCUUUGACACCAAAAGAACUUGGUAUGUAUUUGUUUACCUUUCCCCUAUCCAGUUGUCUUGGGAAAGUCAUUGAUUAAAAAGUGCAGACCCAAUGAGGCACUUAAAAAAACACAACUUUCUUUCUAACAUUCUAACAUUCUUUUAUAACUUUUGAUUAAGUUUUUCGGUGAUGCUGGUUUUUUUAAGAUCUUGCUUUCCAUCCCAUUCUUCAGCAGACACUUUGUGUUUUGAUAAGGCUUGCUUUGGGACAAUAAUGAACCUCUUAUAACACAAAUUUGAAGGUACAACACAGACAUCUAGGUAUUUUUUAAUAACAACCAAAAAGUCAUGGAAAUUGACCUAAACAUAGAUCCCUGAAAGUAACUAAUAAGUAUUUGUAAAGGGUGACAGCUUUCAAUCAAAAUGUAUUUUUAUGAUGAAAAUCGGUUUUCUUGUCUUUUUCGUUUCAAAAUUUUCUCUCUGUUCGUUUUUUUUUUCUCUCUCUCUCCCCUCCUCAAAGCCUGUCUCUUUAUUUUAAUUCUAUUCUAUUCUCUAUUCUAAAUUGUAUUUGAAAAUAUUGUAACUACUACAAGAAUUAUAUGCCUUGUAUCUAUUUACUUAAAUUAAAUUCAGAAAGGUAUUAAGCAACAGAGUAAUGAUAGAUAAUAGAGAAUAUCUAAAAGUACAGGAAUUCUGGAAUUCUCGGUCUCUUGUUUUAAGAAUUUAGGUGUACGAGAAGAUAUAACAUGUUUAAUAUUCUACAAUUCAUAAAUACUUUAAGCCUACAUAUUUUGGAGGAUUUCUUUUCCCGGAUAAAAAUAUCCAGAAGCUGGUGCGCAAUGUGAAGUCUCUCUAUCAUUACUAUUUUUUGCAAUUUCUGCAUUAUUUGUAAAGUUUUGUUUUAUUUUCAGGCAAUGGUUACCUCGAAAUAAACUGGAACUCCUGGGAAUUGAUAAAGAGAUCGACAUAAAGAAACUGACGGAGUGUCGAAAGCAGGCUGACCGCAAAGCGGUGCGGAAAGCUUAUGAAGAUGCUCUAGAGUUCAGAAGUGCAACAACUGCUGUGUUGGCUGAUGAGUCUCCAUCAUAGUAGAAUAAUUUUUGAUACUUUGUACCUAUAGAUAUUUACAAUAUCUCAAUAAGUUGUGAUCUCGUGUGAAUUAUUAUUUCGCAUUUCAAUCCGUCUUUGUACUUUAUUUUUAUUAAUUGUUCUUUAAUAAUCCUUCAUUAGUUUUAUGUUAAUAUCUGCUAUGCUGGGUGAACUUGUUAUUAAUUGAUUCAGCCAGCAUUGUGAACUGGGGGUUAACAAGGGUCUUCUAGCUCUUUUGCUCAAUUUACUUUUCAAUGUGCACUUUUAUUUUUUAUUUUAUAUUCUGUGUUUUAAUGCCGAGUAGAUUGUAUUGCUUACAAUUUUAUCACUUCAUCGUGAAGAUUUUACUAUUUUUGUAAAUCUAUUGUGCUUGCCAGAAAUCAAUUUUAACUUUUAAUUUUUAAAGUCUAUGAGGAAAAGAAAUCUUGCUUUUCCUUCACCAAAUUUUUUCGUUUUUCUGGAAAGAUGUGUUCAGUUUAGAACAGCAUGUUUUUAAAUCGAAGUAAUAUGGUUUGCUACAUUGACCACUUGCUGUUGAGCAAAUUAUGAAUAUGGCUAAAGUCUACAUACCCUCACAAUCCUUCUAAAAUCGUGUCUAUUGCAAAUUAAAAUUAAAUUUUUGAUGUGUGUAAAUACUUUAUUUACCAAGUUUUUCCUUUUUUUUCCUAUUUUAAGACAGUUGUUACACUGUAAAAUCAUGGUAACUAAAAAUAUUUAACUGAUUGAUAGCACACACGGCUCUCCUUUUUUUAUUUUAAAAUUGAUUGGACAGCAUUUACAAGUAGAAUGUAACUUGUUUUUCCUUUUAAAAUUUUUUCAUGGAGUAUUCUGUUUUAAUUAGAGGCCCAUGCUGUAAUGUAAAUAUUAUUGCCCCCGUGCAAAAUUUCUCAUACCACUUUUCAAAGCUACUAAAAAGUGAAAGCAAAUUCCAAUGCUAAAUAUACACACUGAAAAUGGGAUUCAUUAGUGCAUUUGUCAAAUAGUUUUCUGAGAUUUGCAGCAAGUCGCCCAGUUUCCAGCAAUUCAUAAAGUUGAGAAAUAACAGUUCUCAGCUUUUCUGAAAUGUUUGAAUAGAGUUGGUGCAAAUUUGGAUAAGUAGAACGCCAAUUUGAGAAAUUAGGACUGUUGAGUAUAGCAACCGAUGACUCUCAUUUUCAUUUAGAAAUCAGAUUCCUUCAAUUAAAUUAAAAUCGGAAGGGUUAAGGAGAGAGAGGUAGUGAUCUCGUAGUUAGAAAAUCUGCGUAUUCUGAUUUCUUAAUGCUCUGCUCAUGGAUAAAGGCCCAAAACAUGGCAGCUACUAUUGGCAAUGUAUGCACUCACUCAUUUCAAUGGUAAAACUGCAAAAAUGUGUAUUUCGGUUGUUGUGUUUUCAAAAUCUCCACUCUUAUUUAAUUUUUUAAAAGGAAACCAAACCAACAUCAUGGCUUGAAGUUUUCAUAUUAAAUUCUUACUUUAGAGAAGAAAAAUUGCUAUAGUUUUCAAGAAACGACGUUCCCUAGUUUUCUAUGUGGAAAUUAAAGCCUGCAUGACGGGAAGUCUGCUUGGCCGCAAACCGAGAUACGCAUUUCUUAAGUUUUACCAUCAACGUGUAAUUUUUGAAAUGAAUCACUGAAAUUUACAGCACUUCUCCUGAACUAUACAUUCUACUUCCUCAUAAUUAUCAUAGUUUAAGCUCUAAUUUUUUGGUGACCUAAUUUUUUAAAUAAUGAAAUAAUUAUUUACCAGAUUAAAAGUUUGUCCCCUUAAACAAAACUGAAUUCCUUUUCGAUUUUAUGUGGUGGUUUCAGUAAUGUUUCU
Molecule: long non-coding RNA, 4550 nt
Filed under: Bemisia tabaci
Lineage: Eukaryota; Metazoa; Arthropoda; Insecta; Hemiptera; Aleyrodidae
Description: lncRNA ENSSSA3NGG011416
Source: RNAcentral